RNAcentral lists this transfer RNA (71 nucleotides) under Candidatus Kaiserbacteria bacterium RIFCSPHIGHO2_12_45_16. RNAcentral's name for it is "tRNA-Thr". It matches the Rfam family "tRNA". Rfam says of the family: Transfer RNA (tRNA) molecules are approximately 80 nucleotides in length. Lineage: Bacteria; Candidatus Kaiseribacteriota. The record is from RNAcentral.
UCACCUAUAGCUCAAAGGCAGAGCAGGCGACCUGUAGUCGCCCGAUCCUGGUUCAAUUCCAGGUAGGUGAA